RNAcentral lists this antisense RNA (75 nucleotides) under Streptomyces wadayamensis. Its description in RNAcentral is "Aspks sRNA". It matches the Rfam family "ASpks TB sRNA". RNAcentral also lists the same sequence under 2 other names. Lineage: Bacteria; Bacillati; Actinomycetota; Actinomycetes; Kitasatosporales; Streptomycetaceae. The record is from RNAcentral.
CUUGACGGUGCCGAGCAGCAGCGGCUGCUCCGGGUCGCGGCCCUCGCCGUAGGCGGCGAUCAGGGCGUGGGCCUC